GAUGAACGCUGGCGGCGUGCUUAACACAUGCAAGUCGAACGGAAUACAAGGGAGCUUGCUCCUGAACUAUUUAGUGGCGAACGGGUGAGUAUCACGUGAGCAACCUGCCCCGAAGAUUGGGAUAACACCGGGAAACCGGUGCUAAUACCGAAUACCCCUCACACAUCGCAUGAUGAGUGAAGGAAAUGUUUUUUCGCUUCGGGAGGGGCUCGCGGUCCAUCAGCUUGUUGGCGGGGUAACGGCCCACCAAGGCUACGACGGAUAGCUGGUCUGAGAGGACGAUCAGCCACACUGGGAACUGAGACACGGUCCAGACUCCUACGGGAGGCAGCAGUGGAGAAUCUUGCGUCAAUGGGCGAAAGCCUAACGCAGCAACGCCGCGUGAGGGACGAAGGC
RNAcentral lists this ribosomal RNA (396 nucleotides) under uncultured bacterium. Its description in RNAcentral is "bacterial SSU rRNA". It matches the Rfam family "Bacterial small subunit ribosomal RNA", at positions 28 to 415 of the family's 1533-position model. The record is from RNAcentral.